Molecule: long non-coding RNA, 934 nt
Filed under: Anser brachyrhynchus (Pink-footed goose)
Lineage: Eukaryota; Metazoa; Chordata; Aves; Anseriformes; Anatidae
Description: lncRNA (ENSABRG00000003572.1)
Source: RNAcentral
UUUGCUUGUUAUGCUUGUUGGUAGCAUUAGCUAUAAUUAAUCUGAACUCUAAAUUCUGCUCUAAGUCUCUUACUUCAGCUGCUUAAUAUUUUCCCAAAUCCCCUCCUGAUAGUUUUUUUUUUUUUUUCCUCACAUGGUCUUUUGUAAAAUGGUGAAUUUUGGUGAGACAGAUGAAGAAAACAAGGGACUAAUGUUUGUUUAAUUUUGUUGGUUUAAUCUGUUUGUACUUCCUCUGCUUGUGGGUGCUAAAAUAAUUGUAGCAAUAAUAAGAUAACUGGGUGGGAUUAGGUACCUCUAGCUACAGGGUAAAAUUAAGGAUAAAUACAGCUGUUUCUGUAAUUGGCAUUCAGAUAAAGGCUACCUCUGGUGGGGCUGGAGCUUUAGACAAACCUGUCUGGAGCAGAUGGUGCAGAGUUCUCUCUGAUCUAAGACAUGCUAUUAUCUACAGACACCCAGGGUAACAGAAACCUUGACACAGCAUUGGUAGAUACAGCACUGUAGCAAUGGAAGACCUGUACCAUGUUGAUCCAGCUGGAUGCUAAAGGAUACCUAAGGAAACCUAAGGAUAACUAAAAUGAAUUCAGACAUAAUGAUAUUGGACACUAAAGGAUUUCCACCACCAGCAACAACUGGAAAGAAGUUCAGCUGAUCAGUAGUAGAUGUAUCCUUUCAAGUGAACAAAAUAACUCACUUUGCUUCCACAAUGUCAUACAACAGUUCUCUGACAACUGGCAAAAAGAAUAAGGCAAUAUAAUUCAAGACAAGCUAUAAAGAAAAUUAUAAUGUUCAAGGGUUAAACUUUUCAUUAGUUUUUGUUGUGAACAAUUUUAUCCAAAUGUGUUUGGUGACAGUGUUUAGAAAGGAGGUGAAGGAACCCUUCACAGUAAAUUACAAAAGCAGAGUGUUAAUGGCUUAGCUGGGGUCUAUUUUCCAG